Long non-coding RNA from Phragmites australis (common reed), 4214 nucleotides. RefSeq lists it as uncharacterized. The transcript has 5 exons. NCBI's taxonomy places the organism in Eukaryota, Viridiplantae, Streptophyta, Magnoliopsida, Poales, Poaceae. The record is from RefSeq and is a predicted model, not a curated record.
CGACCCAAAGAGGGGUCCGACAUACCAACACAGCACGACAGCCCGCGCCGGCGCCCUGGCCUUCAAGGCCUGCGAACCCAGCUUCGACCACAUCGACAACCGUUCUUGUGCCAUCCUCUCACCAGAUUUGCCGUCCCCGGCGACCCCAGUGCCUUCGUCUCCUUUGGCCCUUGCUCUUCCCCACACGGAUCUGGCGUCCUCAAGCCAAGCCCAGUUUGCCGCUUCGAUACCCUCAGCUGCCUGAGGACCGUAUUUUCACAAUCGUGAGUAGCAAUUGUAUAUGUAGACAUACUCACACUUCAUCGCAGUUCUUGCUGUGCUGUUAAUUCCUUGUACAGAGGAAGGAGAAAUAAUCACAGAGGCAGCUGAUAGAAUCUUGAGUUACUUGUCAAAGCUUGCAAACUUUUAUGACCUUGUUUGAAAUAGCACAAAUUUGGUUGCACGUCGAGGACCACGACCUUCACAGCCUCAAUUACAUGCACUCCGGUGCCACGAAGACGUGGUACGGGGUGCCCAUGAAGCUGCACUCGCGUUCGAGGAGGUCGUGCGCAUCCACGGUUAUGGCGGGGAGGUGAACUCCUUAGAAUUGUGAUUUGUGGUGCAGAAAUCUUUGCAAUGCUGGGGGACAAGACGGCGGUGAUGCCCCUGAAGUGUGCUUGUGGACUCGGGGAUUCCCUGUUGCAGAAUGCUGCAGAAUGCAGGGGAGUUCGCGGUCACUUUUCCCAGAUCAUAUCACUAUGGUUUCAGUCAUGGUGAACACUUUCAAGAGUUAGCCUUGCUGAUAAUCCUCUCUUUUACCUCGUUGAAAAGAAGAUGUCUGAUGUCUGAUGCAUUGCUUACUCAGUUAUGCCUGUCCAACUCAUGCCUUCAUGUCAAUCCUUGUGGCCCUAGAUAUAUGGAACUAGAUUUGUCUUAAACAGUAACGCAUCAAGGUGAUUUUUGCAAAUGCUAUAUCCAUUUGAUGCUGACCUUUUUAUUGUAUGGCGGGAAGAAACACCUUUAGGUAUCUCUGGGACUGUUUUGAGUUUUAGCCUUUUAGGCUAGACAACUGUAGGACAUUUGUUGUAGGGAUUAGCAUUUGCAAGGUGCAUGUUUUCUGUGAAUACAACAGUGCCUGUGCAUAUGACCGCAAUAGGAAUUUUCUUUUAUCACAUACCACUGGAAAAGGCAAACUUAGGCUGUUGGUCAUCGCUUUGGUGCCUUUCGUGAUGAAUUCUUCCAAUCAGCCUUGUGAAGAAUAUUUAUAUUUGGGCAGGAUUCAACUGCAGGGAAGCAUCAAAUAUAGCUACUCCUGAAUGGUUGGGAGUCGCGAAAGAGGCAGCAGUCCGCAGAGCCUCAAUCAAUCGUCCUCCCAUGGUUUCGCAUUAUCAGUUGCUCUAUGAACUUGCACUGUCAAUGUGCUUGAGGUAUUCUCAUAUUAUACAUGCUUCAUGGUGCAGACCUUUUCUUAUGAGAUAAUUAUUUCCCCUCCUGCAUCCCACCCAAAAAAAGAAGAAGAGAAAAAUGAAAAACUGUUUUACAGCCCAGUUUGGUCGUAGAGCCUGUCUUUUCAUGGGUUCAACUUUCAUUAUGUUAACUUAUUCAAGGCUCUAUUCUCAGUGGUGUAUAUAUUUGAUAUCUCCAUUUUCAUUUCUGCAAUAUCUCUACUACUUACAAAGUGUCUAACGAAUUCGUUCGUCUGCAAGUCAGCACGCCAACAUGUGGGUUGUAACUCUCACAACUCGAAAGUAAUCUUUGGUAGCAGGCGAGCAAGUUGUGUUUUUCCAGUGGAAUUUACUAGCUGAUCGAUAGAAAUAGUUUGCAUUAUGCUAGUUCGGAUCGACAAUUUAUUCUGGUGUGUUUCGUCUACCUUAAAAACAUUCCGCAUUGAUCAGCAUUGAUUGGCCUCAAUGUACAAAAAAGAUGCAUAUAUCAGUAUGUGACACUUCUAUAUAUGAUUGCUACUCUAUGCAAAUUGUUCCCCGGUCUUUCGGUUUUCCUUUGCCACUGCCCUAUCCUGCUGGUUCCCAGCUGCCAGGCCACUUAAGCCUGAUGAAAUUGUAGUUCUUUUUACACCAACUUGAUAUUUGCUAAUUAGUUGAAUGAUUGUCAAGAUGCAGAUGUGAGUAGCAGGGAUUUCUAUCUGCACCCAAAACAUCAGCAUUGUUGGUUUAUAUUUGUCCCUGGCCCCUCAGGGACAUUGCCGUGAUGCUGCUGGUGUGUAUGUUCAUUCUUUCUGAAUAUUAGCUGCUGACAUUCAAGUGAAUAGAAACAUGAGCGUGAUCCUAGGUUUGCCCAUUGUGCCAUACUAAUUUGGAAACUCCUUUCCAUCUGUUGAUUAUCUGUAGCUUUGCUAGACAAGUUGCUGCAUAUAUUCAUAACUGGUUGGGUAUUUCACCACUCCAAUUGAUCCUUUAUCAUUUUGAUUGCUGCUUGAUCACCUGUAAUCAAGAGCAAUAUUAUUAUUCUGAUGAAAUUUCUUAGUCAGCCGUGUUAGUUUUCACUUUCCUAUUAUUCUGAUGUUCUUGAUGAAUGAUGGCAAAUAUAGGUAAUUAGUAGUGUGAUUUACCUGAUUGCUUCCAGCUGGUAGUAGUAGAGUGGCAUUUUCUAAUCCAGCUGGUAGUAGUAGAGUGGCAUUUUCUAAUCGCAUAGUGUCCUGCUAUUAAACUCAAGGUGACUUAGCUGGGUUUCUGAACCUCUCUUAUUUCUUUUUCUUUUCUAUAAUUGAAUUGUUGUGUCUGCCAUCUAAUAGCAAAGUAAUUCUGCAGUGAUUGCUAAUCAAAUGGUUUGUGUUGGUUCGCAAACAUUUAAAGAGAGAUCUCGAUGUAAAGUGUUACAUCAUAAUGUUAGUACUUUCUGCUUAUAAUAUUUUAACACUUUGAUAUUCUUAUGCUGGCAAAUGCCAUGAAACUUGAAAAAAAAAAAACAGGCCAAAGCACUCCGUCCAGGUAAUCAAAGCGCUCCGUCAGGUAAGGUUUUUUCCAUAUUGUUUUUAGUUUUUUGUCCAUCCGAAGGAUGCUAUAUGCAAAUUGUUACAACCACAUAUCACUAAGACCAAAUUGACAGUUCACUGUCCAUCUAACUGCUACCUCUAUUUUGAUAGUUCACUGCAUGUUCAUAUGGGGCAUGAGUAUCUGUAAUUUCUGUCAAAAUUGUUUGAAAGUCACGCUACUGUGAUAUCCUUUUGGUUUUCUACGGACCAAUUUGAUAGUUCACAGCAUGUUCAUAUGCAUAGUUUAGAGCUCAUGUCAGCUUUACAGAAAAGUCUUUCAGUUAUCAGCCAAUCGACAUUUACAAUGCUUGCUCAGGUAAUCUCAAAAAUGCAAGGAGUAGGCACGUAUUGAACAACAAGAGCAAAAUAAGCACUGAACAUUUAGAUGGUGAACUAGCAGUCAAAUUUGUCGCCGGAAUUCACUUUCUAGCAAUACAUUGUAGUAACAUGAGAGAUCAAAUAGUAUCUCUCCAUGUUUGUGUUCAUGAUUUCUGUCAGUUUAAGAGUUGUGUUAUUUGCUUAAGUUGGCAAGUCAUUGGUUGGUCAAAAUGUCAUUUUGCAUUAGCUAAACACGGUAAAUUAUUGUAUCUCGUGAAAAUUUUCAACCCCGUUGUAACGCACGGGUGAGUAAGUCUCUAUUUAUUUAUGUGUGGCAUAUCAUAGUUCAUUGGCCCAGGUCGUCAACCCGCAUUAAUGGGAACAACCUUCUGUGUCCUGAAAUGAUCGUAAAAAAGCACUACACUUUCACCCCAUAUUUUUAGACAGUCGUGACCCGUGUCCCUUGACCCCGACCCGAGUGACCUGGGUUUCUGAUGGGACAGACCACGCGUAUGGGAGAAUCGAGCUUGGCUUCCUAGUUUUAUUAGCAACUCUCACUAGGUUUAUUAAAACAACGCGCCUCCUAAAGGAAGUAGGUUGGCUCAGCGGAGAAGGUGGGUAUAGGGGCAGGGUAGCGAGUCAGAUAUAGGCGUCGUCGACCGUGGGUGAUAGAGGAUGACCAGUAGGGUGUCAGGGUGGAGGAGGCAAGAACACUAGGUUAGCACGGCAGAGGGAGGUAGCAAUGGAUUCGAAGGUGGGAGCACGAUGCUGGCAAGCAAUGCAGAGGAGCUGGACACCGGAGAGUGGAGACAGGUCGAAAGAAGAUCCACAGAUGGGCGUCAACUGAAAAUAAAAAUAAAAAACAGGCACCUGACCAUUAACAUCACCCUUAAAAGAAAGUCAAAUUUUUAUUUUGUUAAAUAGU